AACGCGAAGAACCUUACCGGGGCUUGACAUGCCGGGUAAAGCCGUGGAAACACGGUGCUCCUUCGGGAGCCGGCACAGGUGCUGCAUGGCUGUCGUCAGCUCGUGCCGUGAGGUGUUGCCUUAAGUGGCGCAACGAGCGCAACCCCUGUUCCAUGUUGCCAGCGGGUGAUGCCGGGGACUCAUGGGAGACUGCCGGUGCCAAACCGGAGGAAGGUGGGGAUGACGUCAAGUCAGCAUGGCCCUUAUGCCCUGGGCUGCACACAUGCUACAAUGCGCGGUACAGAGGGCAGCGAACCCGCAAGGGGGAGCGAAUCCCAAAAAGCCGUGCUCAGUUCGGAUCGGGGUCUGCAACUCGACCCCGUGAAGUCGGAGUCGCUAGUAAUCGCGGAUCAGCAACGCCGCGGUGAAUACGUUCCCGGGCCUUGUACACACCG
This 434-nucleotide ribosomal RNA is filed under the name uncultured bacterium. RNAcentral's name for it is "bacterial SSU rRNA". It matches the Rfam family "Bacterial small subunit ribosomal RNA", at positions 958 to 1392 of the family's 1533-position model. The record is from RNAcentral.